GGAGUUGGAUGUUGGAACGCCUUUGAUGAGUCUGCAGUUGCCAAGGAAGCUGCUGCUUAGCCUGCUGUAGCUGCUGCUGCAGAAGCUGUUGUUUGAGUUGCUGCUGCAUUUGAGGUUGCUGAUAUUGUUGCUUAAGCUGCUGUGUCUGUAGCAUCUGUUGUUCCUGUUGCUGUUUGAGAGGCUGACAUUGAAGCAUAUUGGAAUUAGACUGAUGUUUGUUGACAUUUGAUUGUAACAUGUAUACCCCACCCUGUUGCUGCAUGGUGCUCAUAUUCACCUGUUGUGGAGCAACAGGAUUCUGCUGCAUAGAUCCCAUACCAAUCACCUGCAUUGUACUCGAGGCAUUACCUGUUCCAGAGUCCAUAUUGGAAUUCGGCUGUAGGGAAUCAAUCAUGGUUUGCUGUGCAUUUGAAACCCCAGACAAAGACAUGGAAUAAUGAUUCAAAUUUCCCAUAUUGUUCUGCUGCAUUGAUGCUACAGAACCUUGUAAAUUCAUUGAUUCUAAUUGAGGGUUCAUUUGAUUUUCAUGUGACUGUACUUGAGUAGUUUGAGGUUGCAAUUGCUGCUGCUGCUGCUGCUGCUGCAUUGAGUGCACAUGAGGAGGGGCAAGUUGCCCUUGCUGCAUAGCUACUUUCCUGGGCCUACUUGUGUUGAUAAAGUUUAUAAUCUGUUUCUCAAAACUAACCAGCUUCUCCUUGAAAGAAGGCACUAUAUCAGCUUUGUUAACGUGCAAAAUAGCAAUUACGCGCUCCAACAUCAAUUUAAAAUUUUUCAAUUUGUCAAGCUGAUCUGACUUUGGCUGUAGCGGAAGAGACUCAUGCUGCAAUGUAUAAGAAUAAAAUAUGAUAAGAAAGAGAUCAAAAAGGAUGAUAGACCAUUUAAAGAUUUAAAAAUCAAUUAUUAGUCUGCCUUUCUUAAGAAAUGUUUACUCCAUGUAACAAAUUAGGAAAGAAUCAAAAUUAAGCAAUAACUUUCUCGGAAUGUUCCCAAUAGCAGACUUCAUUCACAUACCUGCUGUAACUUCAUAGAGAUUUUCUGGUACAUCUCAUUCAAUUCAGGUAAAUAUGUGUCCCUCAUGGAUUUCAUCUGCAACAAAAAUAAGUAGUGUAUUGAUCAAUCCAAACUCCUCCCAGGUCGUUUUCUUCUACCAAUCAAAUAACAUAUAUCUUCCAAUACUUUAUUGAGAUAAAUAACUGCAGACACUCACAUUACCAGCAGACAACUUACAGUAAGUUCCACUGAUAAUAUUUCUCCAAGGCUAAUUAUCAUAUGAUCUAUACAUUUUUAGCUACAAUCAUCUUCCAAGAGCAAAGAAACAUGAAAUAAGGAACAGGAAGAAGAAUGAAAGAGAGGACAAAAUGACUUAGCAUUUUCGAAUUACUGGAAACAGAUAAUCACAUGUUAGUACUCACAAUAAAUAUCUAAAUAAAGUUCAACUCUUAUAUCAGACUAGACAGCAUCAGUGUCAUUUAUGCAUAAGCCAAAUAUGAAGAAUAAUAAAGAUUAGCAACUUGCAUAAAGCUACUGUUUCAUCAGAAUGCCAACCACCACCUGGAUAACAUUAAAAAAAGCAACUAAAACAGGAAAAGGAGAUUGACUGACACGGACAAAAUUAUGGCAAUUUCUUUUCUACAUUAAGACAUCAAUGGCUUUAUCUUUUAUUACUCCUUAAUAAAGGAAAAACAGCAAUCUUAACGCAACACAGAAACAUUCUUAAGAAAACACGAUUCAGUAGUUAAAUGACUUCUCUUUCCAUUUCACAAAACUACUCUUUUUCCCUCUUCAUAAUGUCGUGAGAAAAAGGGGAAUGCCGAUCAGAAACCACUCUGUGGCAACUUCUCAUGCUUAACUUACAGAUUAAUAGCAGCAUUAUCGAUACCUGAUCCUCACAACAUAUAAGCUUGGCUAGACAUUGCAGUUUUUAAUAACAAGAAUUGUUAGAUAAAUGUUAAUGCGACUGGCCUGGAGUCACUACGUAAAUAGAAAUUCACCUUUGGUGGAGGGAUUCCUAGGUUUACAAACCAUAAGCACCUGUCCAUACUACACUACGUAAAGAAUUGGCUAACGAAAUUCCACUCAAGGGCUUUCAAAUUUCUCUGAUUUAAAUUCCUGUCACCAAAAUGUAUGAUGUUAUACAAAUUCUAGCAAGGGAAUUGGCUCCUGUUCAGCAGUUCUUAUUGUCAUACUAGUUAGUGCACGAGGCCACAUUACUAUCCCCAAAUUAUAGUUCAUUAUGCAACUUCCCCACAUUCUGAUACUUUGGACAAAAGAUUAUGCUGUCGACAUUCUAUUGCCAAAUACCCAUUUCUGUCUCACAGCUAUAUUUGCUAUCGAGUCAAUAUUCAAACCAAUAUCUCAUGUGAAUGAAUUCCUUUCCCUGGCUAGACCUCAUAAAACUACUAAUACUCUUAUCUGUGCCUUUGUACAUUUGUAUCCUACUAAAUCAUAUAUGUAAAGUCUAGCAAGAAAGGUCAGUCAUCAACAAACUAUUAAAACCUGUAGAAAAAUAUGAGAAGUAUCACACAUAAUACAUGCAUUCCAUAAAAUUUAAUGAAUAAAACUAAACAGUGGUACAAAACCUUUUGGUAAGCCUCCUCUUGCCAGUCACCCCCAGCCGAAUGCCCCGUUUGGGCAGAGCUAUCAGUAGACACUACAAAAGUAGAAGAAUAACUCUUCAUGGACUGUGUUGACUGUGGAACUGAAGACUGUUGAUUUUGUUGGACACCAGCUAGAGGAGCUGGUUGCAUUGAUGGCGGCUGCAUGACAGAAGAUGUUUGGAGGACAGACUGCUGAGAAGCCUGCAGCUGAGUCGGCUGUAGCAUAUUCUGUUGCUGCUGUUGCUGCUGCUGUUGUUGGAAUUGAGAUGACAUGAGCGAAUGUGGGACUGGCUGAAGCUUCUGCUUCAAAAGCUGCUGUUGGUAUUGCUGCUGCUGGUAAAUAUACUGCUGUGAAUUCUGAGACUGUUCUUGUUGCUGUAGGGAAACCAUCUGUUGCCUAGCUUGAAGUUGCUGAGAAUUUACGAACAUGUUGCUAUUGACACCUUGGCCCAUUGAGUUCCCCAGUGAGUUCUGAGAAACACUAGGCAUAUUUUGCAUGUUGUUGUUUUGUCCAAUAGUAUUCGGGAUGGAAGAUUGGUUCAAGCCAGAGACAGAUGGCAAUGUAGACGAUAGACUGGCUGAAGCCUGAACUCCAGAUGGAACAUUAUUCUGAAUAUUCUGAACCAAUAACUGUUGACGUGCUUGAGGCUGAUUCACAGCUAAGGAAUUAGGAAUUGAUUGACUUUGAUUUUGAAUUUGUGACUGCAUAACUUGAGAUGACAUACAAUAUAUACAAGUCAUGUUAGUCAAUCAAGAAACCAACCAAUUCAGUACAGCGGCAUUAACUACAAAUAGCACGAAGAGACAAUGAAUGAGAGAUAAAUGCACCACAAGUACGACCUUAGACCAUUAUGUAUUCCAACUUGAAAUUUUCUGAGCAAGUGAUACUGGAUGGAUAAUGGACAUGCAAACACAGACAAACAAUGACCACUCAUUUUCUUUUCAACAAAUACUAAAUAAAAGUCUUUGUGAAAUUUAUGUACUUGAAUUGAUCUUGAAAUUUACAAAAAUAAAUAAAUAAAGGACAAAGGUAAUCAUCUUUUCAAGCACACAUCUUCUGAUGCCAUAGGAGACUCACUUUAACAAAGAAGAAAGAUAAAAUUUGAGGCCAAAAAAGUGGGAGGAAGUUACAAAAGAUGCAAGCAGUUGUCCCUCUCUAGUAAAACUUAAGUCUUGCUGCCACUCUUUGAAAAACUUGCUCUUCACAAAUGCAAAUCUAAUUCUACUGACAAAACAAACUGAUUUUUAGUUCUUUAAUCAAUAUAUUACAAAUUUAAAAGGGAUAUUCAAAUGUGCCACUGCCCAUGGUAUAAACGUGCAUUUGAGGUUACAAAUGAGCAAGAUUGGAAAAAAUUUAUUAAAUUCAGGUUACUACAAUGAAAAUCCACAAGCAGCAUGGCUUGUAGUGAGUAUACAUGUGUACUGUGUAAAGCCCAGUAAAAGCAACAACAGGGCAAGUCCUAAAAUGUGUUAUGCUAAUGCACUUAAGUCCUAAAUUUUCAUUUUGUGCAUUUAAGCAUAAAACUUGUAAAUGUCGAUGCCCUUUAGUCAUUCCAUUAACUCCGUCAAUUUUAAGUCGGAUGGAAGAUUUCACAUGGCUUUCUUUUACGGUUUUCUUAAGCCAAAGUGGCUGUUGAUAUUAUAAAAAAAAAGGACACCUAGAUUUUCUGCCCACUAAAACCUAAUGCAGACAACAGAGCUAACAGAAGACCUAAAGUAAAUGACUAUCACAAGUCUUAGGACUUAAGUGCACAAAAUAAAAGUUUUAGGACUCAAAUGCCUCUAUCAUAACAAGUUUCAAGACUCCUGUUGUAAUGUCCCCCAAAAACUAUGUAUACGAAAAAAUAGUACAAUUACAUAAAUGAAUAAACACUAUAUGAGGGGAUAACAAAAUGAAAAUUCUAAUUCCUACAUUAAUGAUACCAAAUAACAGGAACUUAAGUCGUACCCGGGUCAUUACUGCUAUUCCCAGCAGGGUUAGAUGGCGAAGCAUUAGGUAUGGUAUUCUGAGACUUUGUCUCCAUUGUCAGCAUCUUCAAAGAUAUCUUCCUUAAAUAAUCGGACUAAAAGGGAAAGGAAGCAGAAAUCACUUCAUCACUUAAUCAAAUUGGAAAGAAAAUGAAGCAUAUAUAAAACCUUAGCACAAUAUUACAGCAAUGAGUAAACCUAAUUUCCCUGGGGCAAAGCUAAACGUAAAUAUUUAACAGUUCCGGUUACUAUAUGGAUGCAUGCAUGAAUGAUAAAAAUUCUCAACAAAUUAUGCAAACAAAAGAACGCUUCUCUUAAUUCUAAGCACAAGCCUAUCCAGUUUGUUUAUGCAUCCUCUAUCCACAUAGAAAUUUUGUACCAAUUAAUCACAAAAGGCAUGGACAUCAUAUAAUACCUGGCUUGUUGCAGCAGUGUAAAUUUUUUCCUCAAAUCGCACGGCAAUUUUCUUGAGUUCUUGCAAACCCUCUGGACCAGAAACAGGAAGGUGUCUCUUCAAGGUCUCCAUUCUGCAUAUCAAAAGAGAUUUGCACUUGAGACGAAAUUCUUCUUACCAAUAAUUUUUUCUUUCCUCGACGAUAAAUAAGAUUUCACUAAGAAGGUACCAAAGGGGUGGCACCCCUGACAGAAUGGCUUUAGGUAGAAGCCACCCAUAAACAAAUUCAUGGACAAAAGACUUUUUUUAACAUUUCCAACAAACUAGACAUAUGAAACCGGACUUUCCUGCUACCAAAAGUGAGGAGUGUACAACCAAUUAUCCCUAAAAAGAAUCCCACAAGUAUUCAAUUCCUUGAAAUGCCCUUUUGUUCCUCUCUCUCUCUCCAAAUGAGCCUAAAAAAAGGAGAAAUGGUGAUCACUCUCUUUCCGAGCCACAAACUGAAAGCCCCUCUCCAAGCCCAAAUUUCAUGUCGCAAUGUUCACUCCCAAUAUUGCAAAAACUGCAGCCCAGAAUCUUUCUGGUGCAGGUACAAUGUCAAAUUGAGUGAUUCACGCUCUCUUCUUCAGUCGUUGCACAAAAAACACCCAUUAGCCUGUACUUUCCCCUCCUCUGAGCAUUAUUUAAAGUAAGAAUACAUCCCCAAGCAUCUCAAGCAAAAAACGAAGCAUUCAAUGGGACCUUGACUUUCCAAAUAGAUGUACAUGGGAAAAGUGUACUCUGUCGUAAUAGCAUCUGAGUAGAAGGAGAUCAGAACAAUAGCAUUUGACAGAAAAAGUUCCCAGAGUCACAGCAAUUCCACGUAGCCCAUCGUCCUCAAAUCUAACCUCGCUUGAUAAGACAACCCAAAAAAAUUCAAGAAGCUUCAUGCUUCUAAUCUAGAGCACUACGCAAGAUAUUAAUCUCCCACGUCGUUUCUCCCAAAAAUCAUCCACCCUAGCUCUCUUGUUUCUUUCUAGUGCAUACCCAUCCAGGAAUAACUGUUUGAACGCAGUGCCUCCACAGCAUAUGUCAUCCCAUGACAUAGUACUCCUACUAUUCCCCAACUCAAAUAGAAAGUCUGCUUUUGAAAGCAUCCCAUCCUUGCUCAAUGUCGAAUCCAUGUGCUCCUCAACUAGAUUUAGUCAUCUAAUCUGUAUCUUUGAAACCAAGUACCCUCCUCCAGUUCUAGUUUUCUCCCCAUUAAAUCAACACAACCAUUUCCCAAGCAAAGCUUCAUAUACAAGAACCAACGACUUUACCCCAACCCCUCAUUAACACCUCAUUGCCCACAUACCUCUUCCAGUAACAGCUUAUACAGACCAAUAAAUCUGAGAUCAAUACAAGAUAAUACAACCUACAAGCAAUGAGACGCUUAAAAUUCCUCAGGUUCCGGAUACAUGAAUUUUUGUUACCAGCAUAACAGGAAAUCAUCCUGCAACUGAUUUCCUCCCAAACCUUACCUCUACACUUAAGAAAGAAUUACAUCCAAAAUACAAUAACAAGAGUGGCCCCCCCUACAUACCUGCCAAAUCCCACAUCGCAACCUAACCCAAACUAUCUAACCAAAUAGAAUUUACAGCGAAAGAUUCCUCAGAAUUCACGUUGGGCCUCGACCAAUUAACAGGACCAUAUUGCAAAACCAUUACUUCCUUUAACAUACUAAACCCUCGGAAAUCACUCCUAAGCAAGGAUCCCUCAUGAACUCCACACUUCUCCCUGCAAACCGAUGAGACAUUAAAAGACCCAAGCGAAGGAAGGAGGCACUCACAUCGUUUUGACGACCCUAUCCCGCGAUUCGAGCGGCAACUCAGCCCUCCAAUCGCCCCCGUCGAGCUCAGCUUCAGUGCCCCCGCCUCCCACACCGGCCGGCGGCGUCGGCCUCCAGUCAUUGUUAUCCAUCAUUAUCACUCCUCAACGAAACCCAACACUCGCAAGGGCCUUAUACAAGCAACAAAAACCCACAAUCAGCACACACCCACCCGAACGCAGAUUCAGGAACCCAAGAAAGAACCCUCCACCCACGUCCUCCCAAAAAGCCCUAGGAAACCCAAAAACAAGAGUCGAUGAAAAGCACGAAAGAUCACUCUUUGGCCGAAAUGCGAAGGGGGGGGGGAGAGCGAGGGAAGGGACGCAAGUCGAGAUGAUUGGGCGAGAGGAACCCAAAAAGCAAGGCUGGCUUGUCUGUUCUCUCUGGUUCCUUAUUUUCUUCGCCUGAGGGAAGGUGGAUUUGAUUUGGACCUCCUCGUCCGAAAACGGGUCGGACCGGGUCACGGGUAAUGGAUCGGGUUCUAGGUCGCCCUAGGCCAGACCAAUACUUUUUUGAAAAAUUGACUUCAUUUCCAACAUUUAUUCCAAAAUUUCUCCUUAACUAAUAGUCCUAAUUGUGAAUUUAAGCUCCAACAUCGAUUCUUUUUUAGCAUAAUGUGGUGGGGGUCUUUGGCUCUAGCUAAAGUUUCUCUAAAUGCUACUUAACUGAAGCCUGAAGCCGCUCAUGCUUCAAUUGAGCAAUUAAUCCACGGAUUCUACAUUAAUUAAGAAAAUAUGCUUCAAUUGAGCAAUUAACCCAUAGAUACUUUAGAAUGAUCACUUAAAAGUAGCGACAACUUUCAAACUUAGUGUCUAAUCUAGAAAUGACCAUAGUGAUCCUAAGAAUAUUAAAAUUAAGCCAAUAAUACUUGUUCUUCCUCAAGAUUAUGAAAAAAAAAAAUUGUUCCACUUUUCACUUAUGGCCCAAUUCACUUUACUCUUAAAAAGUAGCAAUUUUUCAUUGCCCAUGGAACCCACUUCUCUUUUUAAUUCUAGAAAAUAUAAUAAUCAUUCGAACAAUUGUUCAGCAAACCUUCUUAAUCUUAUCAAGAGAGAGAAAAUAAGUGUACACGUACAUGGCGUGCUUGAGAUCUUGUCGUUAUUUAAUUUUCUUUAAAUUGUUGUCAUAAGCCAAUAUCAAACCAUUAUCAAAAAUCAAUUAUGGCAGAAAUUCUCCAGUUCAGUCUCAUCACAAUGAAUAACCAUAGGAUUGAAUAAAGGACAUGUUUUUUUUACUUACAAGAGCCUUUUCUUAUAGCCUUCCAUUCUAAAUUUCAAAAUAUAAAAGAAUCUCUAUAAUGACCAUAAAAGUAACACAUUCAUAUAGUUGGAAAUGAAAGUCAAAUAUAAAACACUACAAAAGGAAACGAAGAACAGGCAUAAGCCAAUUUCUAAUCACCUAUUUAUUGAAUAAACAUUGAACCUACCUAACUUUCAAAACAUAAACAAUAAUAUUGUUAUAGAGGCAAAAAAUUAAAAAAGGACUCCUUGGCUGAUUUAAAAGCAUCCUCGAUACCUCUUCCCCUUGGAAAAGGCAAAUAAGAAGAGAGAGAGAGAGAAACUUUCAAAACAUAAACAAUAAUAUUGUUAUAGAGGCAAGGCGAAAAAUUAAAAAAGGACUCCUUGGCUGAUUUAAAAGCAUCGUCGAUACUUCUUCCCCUUGGAAAAAGGCAAAUAAGAGAGAGAGAGAGAGAGAGAGAGAGAGAGAGAGAGAGAGAGAGAGAGAGAGAGAGAGAGAGAGAGAAGAAGAAGAAGAAGAAGAAGAAGAAGAAGCCCUCAGGCUUCGCCAGCCCUCAAGCUUCGCUAGCCCCUUCUUUUCGAAUCAAGUAACAAAAUCUAUGGUGAUAAAGUCAUUACUAAUAGCUCGAAAACUUUCUUAUAAUCUUGCACCGCUUGCACUUGUCGACAAAAAGCAAACACAAACACUACAAUUAGGGUCUCCCGGUACUCACAGAAAAUCGGGUGCCUUGCGCAGCUCUCUCUUGUUUAUUUUGUUAUUCAUUUUUUUCCGAACUUUUACUUUAUACGUGAUUUAUUGAAUUUAUAUUUAUGGAGAUUACAUAAAAAUAUACACUCUUAUCCAUUUCAUAAUCCAUUUAUUCAUGCAUCCAUAAUUUGCACUUGCAUGGAUUAUCGUACAUUUAAAGCAAAGUCCAACUCUUUGACUGAGCUUUUCCCUACUCUUUUAAGCUCAAAAUUUGCGUGAUGUGAGUUGAGCAGCAGAUCCACCAUCUGCACCAUAUUUGACUCAAAAUAUUUUCAAAGAACAUAAAUCACUUGUUAAAGUGUGAGAGGGUUAUUUUGAUCAUUAAUACUGAGAAGGUUAUUAUGGUCAUUAAGUGUUAUUUAAUUAAUAUUAAAGUGUGAGGAGUGGCAAACACUAAUCAAUGUGUAUGCUCUCUUCUUUUGUUCUAUAUCAAUUUCUACAUGGUAUCAAAGCCAUAGUAAAGAUAAAAAUAAAAAAUCUAGUCAUUGCAAAUUUAGAUCUAACAUUGGCAAGUGUCGUCCAACCUAAUUUGGAACCGCCCAGCCUUGUUGAGUCUAGAUUUGACAGUGGGGAGCAUUGUUGGCUUAGAUCCAGCGUUGCCUAAUCUCGUCUAGCCCAAAUCCGGUGUCAUCUAGCAUCGCAUGUUCUCGUUCAUCCUAGAUGUAACAUCGAAAACCAAGAUCUUAUGCCGAUCGAGCACGUCCAUCCCUUCGAGUUGAUUUAAACUCUGUGGUUGCUAAUCUAAGUUCUUUGGUCCUCUAGGAUUCGUUUGCAUAAUUGUUGUUCUCUAUGUUCUUUAAAAGAAGAAGAAGAAGUAGCAACAACUUGCUUGAUGGGGUUGCUUGCCCUGUUCACCUCGAAAUUGAUGUUGGAUAAGGAGGUUUUUGUUUGGGCAUAAUUUGUAGUUUUAUUGUAUGUUUUCAUGAAACAUAUGAAUUUGAUUGAAGUGUGGUAGAGCUUUGAACUAUUUGAAACAAAUCAUGAUAGUUUGUUGAAUUGAAUUAUGGUUGGUGGAAUAUGAGUUUGAUUAUUGUGUUGAAAAUUAUUGUGUUAUAUUUGUACACAUUGGGUGGUUAUGGUAGAGAAUAAAGGUGCAGUGGCUGAAAUUAUGUCUACAUCCUCUAGUUGACAAAGAAGAAUUUAGAAUUUCAACAAUGGAGGAAAAUCGUGUUGUUAGUAUUGAUUGGGAGAGAGCAACAAAAUCAUCUAACAAGUAAUAGGUCUACCUCUUAUACAAACUAUGAAUGCCAAAAUUCUUGAUCAAAUGUUGAACUCCAUGGAAUCCCAAGUUGCAAAUUUGGUUACAAAUUUAUGCAAUGAAGGAGCUGUGGAACUACUUGAAUUUUCUUUAUUCUAGGCAAAAUAAUCUUUAAGGAUUUAUAAAGUAUCCCAUGAAUUGUGUGGGGUUAAUAGAAAGGGCCGGCCACUAACCUAGUAUUUUGCUUAUUUUAAACGUAUAUAUGAGGAGCUUAAUUCUCUGCCAUCCAUUACCUCUAAUGCAAGAACAACGAGAGCAAUUGGCUAUUAUGGGUCUUUGGGAGGACUAGGACCAAAAUAUGAUGUAGUCCAUUCCCAAAUAGUUGGACACUCAUUGAGACGUUUGCUGGACCUCAUGUAAACCACAUAAGAGUGCAUUCUUCAUAGGUGAUAGCUCGUUGACAGGCCAAGGAAAUUAUAGUAGUGGUCGAGGUCAUAGUGGUGGCCAAGGUUUUGGUAGAGGCCAACCACCCUCAUAUAGUAAUACUUAUAGUGGCACAUAAGGUAAUAUCGAAUUUAUCUGGACUUGUCAUUACUAUGGUUUACGUUAACACAUUCAAAGAUUCUGUUAUAAGCUUCACAGAAGGCUGCCUCAACUAGAUGCAGCUAAUGUAGCCGAUGCAAUAGAAUCUAGUACCUCUAUCAGCCCUCUAAAGCAGGAAGGUUAUUAGAAUGACGAAGAAGGAAUUUGCUAGGUACAAUUAUUUCUAGAUUUCUAAGCUAGUUUCAUGGUCCUCCUCCAUUGGUCCAGAUAGGUAAUACAACAACAUGCCUUUCUUCUGCCUCUUGCCUCUGAGUUAUUGAUUCAGGUUCUACCAAUCAUAUGACUGGAGUUUCAAGUAUCUUUUCUAACUUUCACGAGGCUAUGUCCAAUAUGAUAUUAGCUAGUGAUUUAUUAUUCAUAAUAAAUUGGAUAGACACAAUUCUCCUAACAUCCUCCAUAUAUUUAUCUUUAGUCAUGUAUCUCCCAAAUUUUCCAUUUAAUUUUAUGUAUGUCAAUCAUCCUACCAAAACAUACAAUUGUUCAAUAACUUUACAUCUUGAUUCUUGUGUUUUUCAGGACUUGAAGACGAGGAAGAUGAUUACUAAAGGACAGGGGGCUAUACUUAUUUGAUGAUAAUACCGAUGUUGCUUGUUUUGCGGCUUCCCCACAUCAAAUCCAUUGUUGUUUGGCCCACCUCUCAUUGGAAAGUUUAGAGAAGUUAGAUCCUAGUUUCAUUCUUUAUCCAGUCUUGAGUGUGAAUCAUGUCGGUUUGGCAAAUUGCAUCUUAUCAGUUAUUGUCCAAGAGUCAAUAAAUAGACUUCCCAAUCGUCUGUGUUAGUUCAUUUUGAUAUAUGGGGUUUAUGUUCUAUGUUGACACCUAAAUUUUUGCAUAAAUUACCCAAAAAGAGAAAAAUAAAUAAGAAAUAAAAUAAAAUUACAUAGCAAGGAAUUUUAGGCGCAUCUUACUCUGAUAAGGAAUAAAGAUUUGAUAUAUUCAAAUUAUAUACACCAAGGGGUAUAUUUCGCAGAAAAUUAGAAGAUUUCGAUGGAAUAUUUUAGACGCAAUACAUAUUUGGCGUUAAUCUUCGGGUAAUAUGCAUUUUUGACAUAAUAAAAGAAAUAUCAGAUCUUUCAAUCGUCGAUGGGCGUGAACAAAGGAAAGAAAAUGAAAUAAAAUAUUCCACCGUGACCUCUCGAAAUCUAAUCGAAAAGAAAAUUUUAUUUCUUUCAUACGUGGACUCAAUUUCGUUGCAUAUAAAAAGGGGGCUUUUCUCAGUUUCUAGGUUAAAAAAAUUCAAUACGAAAAAAAGAAUUUUUUCUUUCUUGAGGCUUUUCCUGAGGACUUUUCCUUCGGUUUCUCUUGAGUAGAAAAGUCAACAAAAGAGAAAAAAGGAAAAGAGGGCAGAGAGAAGAGACGUGACAAGCCAGCAGAAAAAAAGAAAAGGAAAAAAGAAGAAAAGCAGAGGACUGUUCGUCUUCUUCGCUGCCCUCGCCGACCCCCUGCGCCGCCUCGCCUGCUGCGCCAGCCACCGCCGCAACGACCUGCAGCAACCCACGGAGCCGCCGCCGUCCCGUCUGCUGCCGGAUCCCUCCAUCGCCCGCGAGCCGGCGUCGCUGCUGCUGUCCAGAGGCCGCGACGCUGCUGCAGCCAUCGUCUCCGCCCGCGCCUGCACCUCCGCCCCGGCGUCCCUUGCUGCCCGAGCUACCGGCCACCAUCUAGCCAGCGCCUCCUCCGCCCGCCUCGCCUGCUGCGCCUCCGCCGCUCGAUCCUCCGCGACGCCACCGCUACCUCUGCAGCCGCGAGCACCCGCAGCAACCUUCGACUCCGCCCGACAACAUGCUUCUCUGCCACAGCCCGUCGUCGACGCCGUAGCAGCUCCCCUCAUCCGCGAGCUCGCACCGCCCAGCAGCCAGCAGCCCGCGACCCCGCGCCCGACUCCGCUGCCAACGCCAGCGUCCGAGCUCCGCCCGCGACCCAGCAGUCCGACGACCUUGCCUCAGACUGCCCUGCGCUCGCCGCGCCUCACCCGCGCCUGCACCAGCUCCCGACGCCCUCUCCGCCUGCUGCCCAAGCGCCGCUCUUCUUUGGUCGUCAGCUGUCGACGCCUCCUUUGCCGUUCAUCGCCGCUGGUCGCAGCGCGAGCGCCACCCAGCAGCCCGCGCCCGACUCCUCCGCCGCCCCACCGUCCCCGACCCCGGGCGAAUCGUCGGUCGCAAAUCCCGCGCACCGGCCCCUUUUCUUUUUCUUUUUCUUUUUAAAUAAAAAUCAGUCAAGGUAGUUUAUUUUAUUAUUUUUUAUCUUUUAUUUUUUGUCAGGUUUAGUUGUUAUUGCUCAAAUUGAAACAUUGGAUGUGGACGUUCAUUUUAUAAAUAUUUUAGGCAUUAUCCGUAGGAUUUUGCCCAAAAUUAUUGUAAUUAUUAAUGUGAUCCGUAGGACAUCGAAGCUUAUUUUUUUUAAUUAUAUUGAUUUUGGGGCAUUUCGAUAGUAUUUUAAUUCUUGAAUCAUUAUAAUUAUUAAUUUAAUUCGUAAGAUUUCGAAUUAAAUUUUUAAUUAUUUUAAAUAUUUGUAUAUGUUGUGAUGUUUAUGGUUAAAAUAAUCGUUAAUUUAAUUUAUGAGAUAAUGGAUUAUUUUUUCGAUUAUUUUAAUCAUUCAUUUGAUGAAUAUCUUGAUUAGUUUAGAUAUAAUGUUUAUCUGAUAAUUGCUUCUCUUGAAAAACACUAAAUCCUUUUUUAAAAAGAUAAUCAAAUCUUGCAUCGAAAUAUGUUGGUUUCAUAAAUUAGGAUUACACAUAGAUUAAAGUUAUAUUUAAAUAAUUUUUUUUAUAAAUAGGGUCUUAGAUAAUGUUUGUACAUUUUAAUAAUCUCUUUUCUAAAAAAAAAUGGUUUUUAAAGAUAGGAUAGGGUUUAAGUCAAAUUAAUUCCUAAACUAAAUUAGAUAACCAUUCAUUUUGUAUAGUUUAAUUAGGGUUUUUAUUAAUUCAGAUUUUUAAUGAAAAAUAUAUAUAAAUAUUAUGUGCAUGUCAAUUAAUUUGCACGUUCAUUUAAUUAGAAAUAGCUUGUUAGUAAAAUUAGGUCACGUAGUUAAAGUGUAUGUUUUAUGGCAAAGUUAUAAUUUCAAGAUAAAAGAAAACCCAAAAAAAUUGCUUACUUUGUGCGUUUAAAAUUUUUUAUGCAAUUUAUUUGAUUUGUUGAGUGUUUAAUAAUGAUUGAGCAUCUGUAUGAUCUUCCAAUCGCAUUAUAGUAUUUGAGGUUAAAAUAAAUCCAAACUGCCUGCAAAGAGCAAAGAAAAGUCUAGUAUAACCAAGUCAUCGUAUCCAAAGUUUUUGGUUCAUAAGAGUAUGAUAAUUUUCUCAUUAUUUUAUUUAGGUGACUAAUCGACCUAUCAUGAACUGAUUAGUAGCAACUCCUAGUUAAAAUUCAUUUACAUGAUAAAAAAUUUGAAAUUAAGUCGCGAAUUGAUAUGGACUUAGGAAAGUCCGAUCUAAGUCUAGGCUUAGCAAUCCAUUAGCCAAACCCCUAGGUGAUCCAGCCUGCUUCCGGGAGGUUGCAACAUUAUAUUUUUUCGAAGUUGGGUUUAAAGUACUUUGUUACAAAAUACAUACUCAAUUUUCAAUUCAUGUUUGUAUUCUUCGAAGUGAUAAUGCCAAAUAUAUGUCUAAUCUUUUUUUUUUGGUAUUUUAAUCUUUAAAAAAAAAAAUUCAUGACCCAAUGGGCAUCCAUCAUCAAUCUUCCUAUUCGAAGUUAAUCGAUCAUUGAUGUUUGAAAUGAAGGCAGACAAAUCCUUUUAGGUUGACACUAUGAUGAUUGCAUGUUAUCUUAUCAACUACACACCAUCUCUAUUCUUAAGGCUGCAACUGCACACUCUUCUUUUUUCUUCUAAAUCCUCUUUUCAUCUACCACUUCGUAUAUUUGGUUAUGUUUGCCAUAUUUGUGACAAUUAUCCAAGGCUUUCCAAACUAGGCCCUCAGUCUCUUAAAUGCAUUUUUGUGGGAUAUUAUCGUAUGCAUAAAGGUUACCACUGUUAUUGUUCUUCUUUGCAUAUGUUUCCUUCUUAGAGUCUAAUAUUUAUUCUGAUGAAUGAAUGGAACCUUCUAUAGUGGAUGAUGAUUUCUUUACAUAUGUUAUUGUGAAAUCCACUUUGGAUUCUGCACCAAUUCCUCUACUAGUCCAACAUGUAUAUGCUAAUCGUCCUCAUUAGCAUAUGAGUCAUUUGCAGAUGUACCUUUGCCUAUUUUGUCUCCUUCAUCCUUUAAGCCUGAGAUAAGUUUGCUAUUGCACAUCGCAAAGGAGUUCGUAGUUGUACCCACCACCCUAUUACACAGUUUGUCUCCCGUUCUAGUAUGUUUACCUCUUUUCAAACUAGUCAAGUCACUUGUCUCCCGUUCUAGUAUGUUUACCUCUUUUCAAACUAGUCAAGUCACCAUUCAUAAUCCUAUUCCUAAAACUAUUGCGUAGUAGACCAAAAUCAAACUCGGGUUCUUAUUCCUUUACUUACAAGGAAGACUGUUAUUGGAUAUAAAAUGGUGUUUACUGUCAAGCUUAAUAUUUGUGGUUCCCUUGCUUGCCUUAAGGCUAGAUUUCUAAAGGUUAUGCACAAGUUUAUGAGGUCAAUUAUGGUGAUACUUUUCCUCCAAUGGCUAAGAUGACAUCUGUUCGCCUUUUGCUUUCUUUAGCUACUAUUACUUUUUGACCUAUUUUUUAGCUUGAUGUUAAAAAUGCCAAUCUUCAUGGUUAUUUACACGAAAAGGUGUAUAUGGAGAUGUCUACCAUUUGAAGACAUCUUUAUAUGGUUUCAAACGAUCUCUCAUAGCUUGGUUUGGAAGGUUUACUGAGGUGGUGCUCCUGUUUAAAUUUAGUGGAGAUCUUUUUAUGUUUUACAGUUUUUUCUGGAGUUAGUUGGAUAUUGCUUGUAGUUUUUGUAGGUGAUAUUAUCACAAGUGGAGAUGAUUUUACAAAGACUUGUAUUUGCAACAAUUGUUUCAGACAAAGAAUUUGGGACAACAUAGAUAUUUUUUGGGUAUCGAAGAGGCACAUACAAUGAAAAGUAUUCACAUAUCAUAUCACAAGUAUGUUUUAGAUUUGCUUAAAAAGAUAACAAUGUUAGGACUUAAACCGCUAGAUACACCAAUUAUGAGAUUGGUAGAGGACGACAAGUUUUAGAUGAUCCUGAAAGGUAUCGAAGACUUGUUGGAAAAUUAAAUUAUGAGAUUGCACUCAACCUAAUAUUUCCUUUCAUAUGAGUGUUUGAAGUCAGUUUGUGUUUCCCCCCAUAUCUCUCGUGGAGAUGAUGUAGUCAAAAUUUUAAAAUACUUGAAGAAAGCUCCAAGUCGUGGUAUUUUCUAUAGUGAUCAUAGUCACAAAAGGGUGGAAGCAUCUUUGGAUGUUGAUUGGACCGAGUCUCCUACAAAUAGGAGGUCUACAUCAAAUUAUUGCACCUUUGUAGGAGGAAACCUAGUGUCUUAGAAGAGUACAAAGCAAAGUAUUGUGACUAUAUCUAGUGCAUAAUCAGAAUAUAGAUUUACGGCCUAAGUUACUUGUGAGUUAGUCCACAUGCGUCAAUUAUUAGUUGAACUUGAAUUUAAAGAUUCUAUGCUAAUGGAAUUGUGGUGUGAUUAUUAGGCAAUUAUCCAUAUAUUGCUUCAAAUUCUGUAUUCCAUGAGUGUACUAAGCAUAUUGAAAUUGAUUGUCACUUUGUCCACGAGAAGCUUUAAGCUGGAGUUAUUUCUACUAUUCAUGUUAGGAUUAAUGAACAAAUAGUUGAUAUUUUCACUAAGUCUUUAGGCAUGAUAUUUUCACUAAGUCUUUAGGCAGUAGUAAAGUUGAGUAUAUUUGUAACAAGCUAAGCAUGCUUAAUAUUUCUACUACAGCCUGAGAGAGAGUGUUAAAUUAUAAGAGGAUUAUUAUAAUCAUCUAGGAUACACAUGAUAACAAUUCUGUUUCUUUGUUUUUCUAUCUUUCUAUUUCCGGAAACAAGUUUGGAAUAAAAAUUGUGUUUAUCCAUUUGAUAAUGUAAUUUCAUUUUUCUAUUUCUAAAAUAAAUUUUUACUCCAGAAAUAGGUUGGAAAAAAAUAAAAAGUGAAAACUUUAUAUAUUUUUAUUUAUUUUUAAAACAAAAUUGAGAAAUAAAAACUCUUCUCGAUUGCCGUAAGUUGUCUCGCCAAUUGCCUGCCACCACCCCACUCAUCAUUGCUCGCCUCCGGUCGUCAUUGCUCGCCUGCCUCUCAUCACCACUCAAGAAGAAGAAAUUUUGCAUUAUUAUUAAACAAAUUUCUAUUCUAAAAAUAUAAAUUAUAUAGUUGUAAAAUACAUACUUUUGCUCAGAAAUAAAAGGCAAAAUUUGGUAACAUUUCUAUUCCUCUAUUUUUAUAUUCUUUCGUUCCCCAGACAAAGUUCACUUCAAGCUCUUAUUUAAAAAAAUUAAUGGCAUUUCGGAUCCUUAUUUAAAGCAAUGUCCACUUCAAGCUAUUUUUAUAUUCUUUUGUUUUUAUAUCUUUCUAUUUCCGGAAACAAGUUUGGAAUAAAAAUUGUGUUUAUCCAUUUGAUAAUGUAAUUUCAUUUUUCUAUUUCUAAAAUAAAUUUUUACUCCAGAAAUAGGUUGGAAAAAAAUAAAAAGUGAAAACUUUAUAUAUUUUUAUUUAUUUUUAAAACAAAAUUGAGAAAUAAAAACUCUUCUCGAUUGCCGUAAGUUGUCUCGCCAGUUGCCUGCCACCACCCCCCUCAUCAUUGCUCGCCUCCGGUUGUCAUUGCUCGCCUGCCUCUCAUCACCACUCAAGAAGAAGAAAUUUUGCAUUAUUAUUAAACAAAUUUCUAUUCUAAAAAUAUAAAUUUUAUAGUUGUAAAAUACAUACUUUUGCUCAGAAAUAAAAGGCAAAAUUUGGUAACAUUUCUAUUCCUCUAUUUUUAUAUUCUUUUGUUCCCCAAACAAAAUCCGCUUGCAUUUCGGAUCCUUAUUUAAAGCAAUGUCCACUUUAAGCCCUUAGUUAAGAAAAUGAUGACACUUGGAGCCCUUAUCAAAAAAACUAUGUCUAAAUAGAAAUUGUUCCCGUUAACAUAAAUGUUAUCAAAUACCACCGAAAUGGCCAGAAAUAAAUUUCUAACAGAAUGUUAAUCAUUCGACCCUAAGUCUUAUUAAACUAAUAAUAAAAGUGCGAGUGGCAAACAUUAAUCAGUUUGUAUGCUCUCCUCUUUUGUCCUCUAUCAAUUUCUACACUAAGAAAGAAGAAAAACUUUAAUAUAGUAGAUGACAACUACUAAUAACAGCAGCACCCAAGCUGCAUUCCGGAGUUGGAUGUUGGAACGCCUUUGAUGAGUCUGGAGUUGCGAAGGAAGCUGCUGCUUAACCUGCUGUAGCUGCUGCUGCAGAAGCUGUUGUUUGAGUUGCUGCUGCAUUUGAGGUUGCUGAUAUUGUUGCUUAAGCUGCUGUGUCUGUAGCAUCUGUACUCACAAUAAAUAUCUAAAUAAAGCUCGACUCUUAUAUCCAACUAGACCGCAUCAGUGUCAUUUAUGCAUAAGCCAAGUAUGAAGAAUAAUAAAGAUUAGCAACUUGCACAAAGCUACAGUUUCAU
This 18100-nucleotide long non-coding RNA is filed under the name Eucalyptus grandis. RNAcentral's name for it is "long non-coding RNA (EGRA_LNC003211)". Lineage: Eukaryota; Viridiplantae; Streptophyta; Magnoliopsida; Myrtales; Myrtaceae. The record is from RNAcentral.